UGGGGAAUUUUGGACAAUGGGGGCAACCCUGAUCCAGCAAUGCCGCGUGUGUGAAGAAGGCCUUCGGGUUGUAAAGCACUUUUGUCCGGAAAGAAAACGUUCUGGUUAAUACCUGGGGCGGAUGACGGUACCGGAAGAAUAAGCACCGGCUAACUACGUGCCAGCAGCCGCGGUAAUACGUAGGGUGCGAGCGUUAAUCGGAAUUACUGGGCGUAAAGCGUGCGCAGGCGGUUUUGUAAGACAGGCGUGAAAUCCCCGGGCUUAACCUGGGAAUUGCGCUUGUGACUGCAAGGCUAGAGUGCGUCAGAGGGGGGUAGAAUUCCACGUGUAGCAGUGAAAUGCGUAGAGAUGUGGAGGAAUAUCGAUGGCGAAGGCAGCCCCCUGGGACGUGACUGACGCUCAUGCACGAAAGCGUGGGGAGCAAACAGG
Molecule: ribosomal RNA, 429 nt
Filed under: uncultured bacterium
Lineage: Bacteria
Description: bacterial SSU rRNA
Rfam family: Bacterial small subunit ribosomal RNA
Source: RNAcentral